CGCGCGCAUCCACCUACCCGUCCUUAUCCUCUCUCCUCCUCCCUCCUCCCUCCAUAUCUAGCCCUCUCUUCCUUCCUAGUCCCUCCAAAUCCAACACCUCCUCCCUCGGAUCCACAGGCGGCAGCACUCGCGAGCGAUCGGAGGAGAGGGCGGCGGCGAGCUUGGGGCGCGGGCGGCAUGCUCGGGCGUGGGCGAUAGCGCUCGGGUGCGGGCGACGCAGGAGAGUGCGGCGGCGAGCUCGGGGCGUGGGUGGCGAGGUCGGGCGUGGGCGGCGGCGCUCGGGCACGGGUGACGGAGGAGAGGACGGCACGAGGUCAGGCGUAGGCGGCCCGGGCGGCGGCGCUCGGCGACAGGGAGGCGCGAGGCACCGGAUCCGGCGACGGGGAGGUGCGAGGCGGCGGAUCCGGCGACGGAAAGGCGCGAGGCGGUGGAUCCGGCGACAGGGAGGCGUGAGGCGACAUAUCCACAGGUCUCUCUCCCCCACUCCUCACUCCUCCCCAUUCCCCGCCGCCACCACCCCCUCUCCCUCUCUCAAAUCUAGCGUUGCGUGGCUUUGCAGCGGCGGUGGCGAGGCGGAGAAGGUGGAGGUCGCCGAGGCUCGGCAGCAGGGUCGUCGAGGCGGUAGAGGUCGCCGGGGCUCGGCAGCACUGCAGCAGCGUCGUCGAGGCGGAGGCGGUUGAGGCCGACGGGGCUCGGUAGUGGCGACGGUGAUGGUGGAUGGGACUUCAAGGAUGACGACGCCGGCGACGGCGGUUCUCUGUAUUUGUGAUGCUUGUAAUAUUUGUGAUGAUAUUUGUGAAGCAUUGUAUUUGGAUUGAUGCUUGGUGUUCAAAUUUUUUGUUAAAUGUGUGGAUAUUUUUUAUGCUUGAAUGCUUGGGAGAAUGGAAAUUUUUAGCUGUAAAUUUUUCAUGUAAAUUUAUGUGUGGAUGGAGUUCUGAUGGAGGUAGACGGAGCAGUGUUUUUUUUAAUAUAGUUUUGCUUUUCAAAUUUCCGCCUCUUCGCUGGCGGCUAGGGCAG
This 1017-nucleotide long non-coding RNA is filed under the name Oryza sativa (Asian cultivated rice). Its description in RNAcentral is "long non-coding RNA (OSAT_LNC000945)". The record is from RNAcentral. Lineage: Eukaryota; Viridiplantae; Streptophyta; Magnoliopsida; Poales; Poaceae.